GGGACACGUGGUAUCCUGUCUGAAUAUGGGGGGACCAUCCUCCAAGGCUAAAUACUCCUGACUGACCGAUAGUGAACCAGUACCGUGAGGGAAAGGCGAAAAGAACCCCGGCGAGGGGAGUGAAAAAGAACCUGAAACCGUGUACGUACAAGCAGUGGGAGCACGCUUAGGCGUGUGACUGCGUACCUUUUGUAUAAUGGGUCAGCGACUUAUAUUCUGUAGCAAGGUUAACCGAAUAGGGGAGCCGAAGGGAAACCGAGUCUUAACUGGGCGUUAAGUUGCAGGGUAUAGACCCGAAACCCGGUGAUCUAGCCAUGGGCAGGUUGAAGGUUGGGUAACACUAACUGGAGGACCGAACCGACUAAUGUUGAAAAAUUAGCGGAUGACUUGUGGCUGGGGGUGAAAGGCCAAUCAAACCGGGAGAUAGCUGGUUCUCCCCGAAAGCUAUUUAGGUAGCGCCUCGUGAAUUCAUCUCCGGGGGUAGAGCACUGUUUCGGCAAGGGGGUCAUCCCGACUUACCAACCCGAUGCAAACUGCGAAUACCGGAGAAUGUUAUCACGGGAGACACACGGCGGGUGCUAA
This 582-nucleotide ribosomal RNA is filed under the name Escherichia coli. RNAcentral describes it as "partial 23S ribosomal RNA". It matches the Rfam family "Bacterial large subunit ribosomal RNA", at positions 419 to 1001 of the family's 2925-position model. Lineage: Bacteria; Pseudomonadati; Pseudomonadota; Gammaproteobacteria; Enterobacterales; Enterobacteriaceae. The record is from RNAcentral.